AGGAAGCAGUGUGUAAUGAUGCUUUCUGAAGUAUCUGCUCUAGAUCUGACGUGCAGCAGUGCCCAAUAUACCCUGGCACUUCUCUCUACCUCCAGUGACACCAUAGAGCCGGAUAUGUGGUAGAAUGGCUUGCACGGUGUUCAGAAAAUAGUGUGAAAGUGGAACCUACUUUGAUUUCCUCAUUGAAGAGGUGCAUCAGGUGGAGUUUUCUUUUGGCAUCAGCUACAUGGUUUGUAGUAGGUCUUGAAGCCCAUUUUAUAGAGGACUGCUUUGUCACAAAACGGUUAAGGAAAGAAAUUGAUGCUUAAAAUUCAUUUGUAAUGUUAUUAAAUAUUACCAUUUACUUUAUUUUCUGAUUGCAUGAAUAAUAAUAGCAAUAAUAAUGAUAAUAAUAUCAACAAUUACUUCUUGUUUUAUUAUGAUAUAUAACAUACAUAUGCAUAUCUUUUCAUCUGCAGUUCCUGGCUCAUAAUUACCUCCCUAACACAUGCAACAGAUUCUAGAAUUUCUCUUCCACAAGAGACAGAGAAGUCUGACAUACAAAGGGAAGAUCAAAGAAGACUGAACUUGCAGUGAUACUGCCAUAAAACCAGGAAAGCAACAUCCACCAGGAAAGCUGCAAGAGAGGCAAAGAAGACGUCUGUUUUCUUGCCGAUACCAGAGGACUUUAUCUCCACCUCCCUAUAAAGUGUGAGCACUGUGUUUCAGCGAGCUGCAUUGCGGACUUCUGCUGAAAACUUCUGUAAACACAACUGCCUUGUUCAGUUUUGUUGUAAACUGACUCACCAUGCGAUGCACUGUCGUUGAUAGCUUCCUGAUGUGUGGUGGAUAAG
Molecule: long non-coding RNA, 833 nt
Organism: Peromyscus eremicus (cactus mouse)
Lineage: Eukaryota; Metazoa; Chordata; Mammalia; Rodentia; Cricetidae
Exons: 3
Source: RefSeq, a predicted model, not a curated record